Molecule: long non-coding RNA, 1857 nt
Organism: Eriocheir sinensis (Chinese mitten crab)
Lineage: Eukaryota; Metazoa; Arthropoda; Malacostraca; Decapoda; Varunidae
Exons: 3
Source: RefSeq, a predicted model, not a curated record
AGGAAAGUGUAUUAAGGUUAGGUAGGUUAGAUAGUAAGGUUAGCUAGUAAGGUUAGGUCAGGCUGUAAUGUUUGGUUGGGUUAAUUGAGGUUAAGUUAGGUACGAUAGGUAGUAAGGCUUGAUAGGUGGGUAGUAAAUUUAGGUAGUAAGGUGAGUGAUGAUGAAGGUUAGAGUAGAUAGUAAAGGGGUUCAAGAGGGCUUACAAUAGCGUUGAUAGGGGUGGUAGAGGGUCAAGGAGGGCGGAAGGUAUCGAUGAGAGAAUAGGGUGAAGGGAAGAAAGGCUAUGGGUGAUAUAGGUCGAAAGGGUUGAAGGAUACACGUUAUAGAGACUGAGGUGGGGCUGUGGGUGGAAGGGAUUGAAUUAUUUAUCGAGGGAGCUGAAUGCAUGGCUUUGUCUGUCUGGAUGGUAAGAGAAGGCUAGUCGAUUCUUUAUAAUCUAUCUACCUGUUUUUGAUCUACCUGUCUCUGUCGGUCUGUUUCUUCAUAAUUUUGUUUUCAUUCUAUCUACGAGUUUGAGUGUCUUUGUGUUGGGUUGGUAAUUUGGUAUGUGUCAGUUAAUAUGUCUGACUUUUUAUCUUUCUGUCUGUAAGUCUGUCUGUUCUGUCUGUGUGUAUGUAUGUAAGUCUGUUUUGUCUGCCUGUCUCUGUCUGUGUCUCUGUUUCCAGGCUGCAGAUUUUAAUAGCGAGACAAAAACAUUAACAAAAUUGAUAUACCUAAAGCAGAUGAUUGAAUUUCCUACACUAAACUGUUGAUCGCAUUGUGUGUGUGCGUGUGUGUGUGUGUGUGUGUGUGUGUGUGUGUGUGUGUGUGUGUGUGUGUGUGUGUGUGUGUGUGUGUUGAGAAGGGGGGGAGAGGCUGUGCAGUAAUGUGCGAGGUGUCUUUUCUCUUCAUUUGCGCUUUCCUUAAAAAAAAAAAGCUAUAUAAAACUUUCCCUUUUUUUCAGAGACUCGUAAUUAAACUGUGAGGACGUCAACACAAUCUCAUCUCCAUUGCGCUCUUCUGAUGUUUUUUUUCCAGGAAAUUACUCAUGACAAUUAAUCCCUUUGUGUUUGCAGGUGUCUGUGUGUGUGUGUGUGUGUGUGUGUGUGUGUGUGUGUGUGUGUGUGUGUGUAAUAAAUGGCUUCUAAUGACAUUCCUCUCGUCACUUCCUGUUUCUCGUUUUUCAUCUUUAAGUAAUUCAUUUAUCGUAAGCACUGAUUUUUUCAACUCUAUUCGCUUUUCUUUAAAGUUAUGAUUUGUAGUGCUACAUCUCUUUUUCUCUCUAUUUACCUCUCAGUCUAUCUCUCGCGCAUUGCUUAACCCCGCCGUGACCUCUGACCUCUGCCGUGUAUAGGAGACGCAGCAUGGUGACAAUCAAAUAUGGAUGCUGGACAAGGGCAGAGGACAAGGAAGGGAAGGUCACAGAAUAACGAGACGCCAUGAGGAUCGGGAGUUUCGUGGAUGUCGAGAAGGAAGGUCUGGAGGUGUUGGGGUUUGAAAUGUGGAGGGACUGGAGGUACUGGAGGUAGGAAAGGAAGGUCUGGAGGUGUUGGAGGUAGGAAAGAAAGGUCUGGAGGUGUUGGAGGUAGGAAAGGAAGGUCUGGAGGUGUUGGAGGUAGGAAAGGAAGGUCUGGAGGUGUUGGAGGUAGGAAAGGAAGGUCUGGAGGUGUUGGAGGUAGGAAAGAAAGGUCUGGAGGUGUUGGAGGUAGGAAAGAAAGGUCUGGAGGUGUUGGAGGUAGGAAAGAAAGGUCUGGAGGUGUUGGAGGUAGGAAAGGAAGGUCUGGAGGUGUUGGAGGUAGGAAAGGAAGAUCUGGAGGUGUUGGAGGUAGGAAAGGAAGGUCUGGAGGUGUUGGAGGUAGGAAAGAAAGAUCUGGAGGU